GCUCUCACCUCCUUUAGGCAUCGUCAACUUUCCCUCUUCACUAUUCUAUUUUAAUUUUAAUUUUUAUUAAUAAUAAUAAAGCCCUGCCCCGUUUUAAGUGUUUUAACUCCCGAUCACCGCUACCUUUUCUGAUUGAUCUGAGCCCCAUAACUCAGGUCAGGGCUCUGCCCGACUAAGUUCGUUGGGAUUCUGUCUCGGGACAUCGAGACAAGGUUGAAUUAGGAGUACUAUACUUAACACGAGUGCAUUAUAUAUUUUUAAUAACUUAGAAGUUAUACCCAAAAUUUAUACCAGGAGAUUUUCUAGUUGAACCCUAAAGUUAUAAAGUGGGUACAUUCUCUUUUCUCACCAUUUUAUUCCUUUUUAUCCCAAACCAUAACAACUUUCACCAAAACUACUAUUUAUUAUUUUAUUUGCCCAAUAGGAAACCCUAAUUGAGACACCCAAGUAAUCCUGCACAACUCCUAAAAUUUUCAUAACAAUCAGAAUCAGGAUCAGGGCCCCUAAAACUCGGGGGGGGGGGGGGGGGUAUUCCCUACUUGACGAUUAUCCAUAUAACUCGCUGUAGAAAUCGAAUUUAUCAAUUACGUCGACUCAUCUAGGCUACCAGGACACGAAGCAACCCUAUGCUGAAAUUGGACCCGUCGCGUCUCGCGAAGGAGACAGGUCUCCCUGUCGCGACACACGAGGGAGACCAUUUUCCAGCUAUAAAUAGAAGGGUGUGGGACUUAGAUUUCUGCAUUUGAACGUCGAACAAAUUCGUUUUACACUUCGAGAUAUCACCCGAUUACUAUCAAACACACACUAGCUCGAAUUCUGCUACGAUACAGGGUAUUAACUUGAUCGCUGCUACGAUUCAAUAUCUGAUCGAUUGAAACUAUCCGACAUGAUGUUUAAAUGCUAUACUUUGUCAUUAAUUGUGAUUCCGACAGGAUGUUUGAGUACCACCCGAACUAGGGGUGUAAACGAGCCGAACCGAGCCGAGCCAGUAUAGGCUCGAGCUCGGGCUCGAAGAAAAACGAGCCGAGCCAGCUCGGCUCGAAAAAUUGUAACGAGCUGAUUAUAUAGGCUCGAGCUCCGCUCGAAAAAAUCUCAAGCCAGCUCGAAGCUCGUUAAACUAGCUCGAAAAUUUGUGUAACUUGUGUAAUUUUACUUUUAAUAAAUGACCACCAACUACCGAACUAAGAGUAUAAGAAAGUCCAAAUCACCAAAAGGGUCAACUUGGACCAGUAAUUAUUUUCACUGAGGGGUUCUUCAUUUAUAGAUAGCAUCCCCUCUAUAUUCUUUAUUUCAGCAGCGAUGUGGGAUAAACUUUUACCCCAAUCCUUUCUUUUCUUUUAUAGCUAAUCCCACCUUUGUAUAUAUUAAUCCUAGGCGAUGUGGGACUUAUCUUUUGAGCCAAUUCUUUCAUAAAACCUGCAUAUUAAUUUGUGUGCAAGUUCGAACUUUCUUAUGUUUGGCUGUAUGCAAGCUGUGGCCAGCUAGUAUCAAAAUUCUUACAUAACUAAUUUGAUAAUAUAUCACACAAGCAACCAAAGCUAGAGGCUAUAAUGUGGAAAAAUAUCAUAGCUUUCAUUUUCAAACUUGAUUCUAUUUUAUAACGUUAUAUACAAAGAUGAACCUGAAAAUUAUAUGCACACACAUGUAUAUAUAAUUAGCCUUUUAAUUAUAACGAGCCCAACGAGCGAGCCAACGAACCACCUAACGAGCGAGCCACGAACCGAACCUACAUUGGCUCGGGCUCGGCUCGUUUACAAAUCGAGCCGAGCCUAGCCGGCUCGUUUAUAACGGAGCCAAUUUCGAACCGAGCUUUUUUCGAACUUUUUUCGAGCGAACUUCGAGCGAGCCGCGAGCUGCGAGAUUUUUGAACAGCCCUAACCCGAACUCAGGGUGUACUCUGUCAUUCAUUGCGAAUCCGAUGGAUGUUUAAGUAUUGCACUUUGUCAUUCGUUUUAAUUACCUAGUUUCGUGGGCAUAAUCGCUUAAAUUAGGUUAUCAGGCUUAUCAGUAGGCUAAACUUCACCACAUACACUUACAAUCAAAGUAGAUGCUAAUUCUCAGAAGAAUGUGGGGUAUUGUGCACAUUACUAUUGUUUUUAUCAGUUUAGGUGGGCGUACCUAAAUCAUGAUACACUUUUAGGUGAACGGACCUAAAUAGUGAUAUACGUCACUGGUGGGUGAACGGACCCAACAGUGAUAUGACCACAGUCACCGAAACGAGUCGAGUGACAAAUACUGUGGGUAGUUGGUUGACAUAGAAACAUUGUAAUCGCUCUUAAUACUGUAAAUUAUAACCAAACAUUUUUUAAACAAAAAGAAUGAUUCACUCAGUAUUUCCCGUUGACAAAACCUUUUUAAAACGCGUUUCAGAUAAUUACAGUAGAUUGGAGUAAGAGUUGGAUACGGCACUGAAAGGCUUCAAGAAGUGGCUUAUUUUAUUAAUUAAAUCAAAUUAAGAAAUAUUGUUUUAUGUAAUUGGGUUAUCCCUUAAUAAAGCUACCUUUGUAAAACAUGGAAUUUAUUCCAUCUAUUUAAAUAAAAUCCAGUGUUUCUAAACUCUGAUAUUUUUCCUAACUCACGGUCCUGAUGAAAUUUCCGUUGCAAUGUUUUUCAAAAAUAAACCACCGGUACCAAUGGGCUGCUCACGGCUCCUGAUUCCGUCUAGGUAGGGUCGGGGGUCGUGACAGUAUCAUCACCUGGUAGAAGCUAACUGUCGCUAUUGCGCAAAUUGCAACUCUCUGGGUUAUCUUACCCAGCACUGUUGCAUAGGGCCACGAACUUGAGGAACGCCAGCAACAAUCGUAGUCUCCGCAGAAGUCUUCUAUCGCAACAUCGACUAUGCUCUUAACGAUGUUGUAAUAAUACGAUUUUCGAUUGUUAAAUAUUCAUGUGUGGAACUUAUGCUACUACUCGAUGCAACGUUGAUUCUGUUUCUCU
Molecule: long non-coding RNA, 2937 nt
Filed under: Helianthus annuus (common sunflower)
Lineage: Eukaryota; Viridiplantae; Streptophyta; Magnoliopsida; Asterales; Asteraceae
Description: hypothetical non coding rna
Source: RNAcentral